This 496-nucleotide ribosomal RNA is filed under the name uncultured bacterium. RNAcentral's name for it is "partial 16S ribosomal RNA". It matches the Rfam family "Bacterial small subunit ribosomal RNA", at positions 29 to 507 of the family's 1533-position model. The record is from RNAcentral.
AUGCACGCUGGCGGCGUGCCUCAUACAUGCAAGUCGAGCGAACGGACGAGAAGCUUGCUUCUCUGAUGUUAGCGGCGGACGGGUGAGUAACACGUGGAUAACCUACCUAUAAGACUGGGAUAACUUCGGGAAACCGGAGCUAAUACCGGAUAAUAUUUUGAACCGCAUGGUUCAAAAGUGAAAGACGGUCUUGCUGUCACUUAUAGAUGGAUCCGCGCUGCAUUAGCUAGUUGGUAAGGUGACGGCUUACCAAGGCAACGAUGCAUAGCCGACCUGAGAGGGUGAUCGGCCACACUGGAACUGAGACACGGUCCAGACUCCUACGGGAGGCAGCAGUAGGGAAUCUUCCGCAAUGGGCGAAAGCCUGACGGAGCAACGCCGCGUGAGUGAUGAAGGUCUUCGGAUCGUAAAACUCUGUUAUUAGGGAAGAACAUAUGUGUAAGUAACUGUGCACAUCUUGACGGUACCUAAUCAGAAAGCCACGGCUAACUACGUG